GACGAACGCUGGCGGCGUGCCUAAUACAUGCAAGUCGAACGCAGUGGGGACGGGUGAGUAACACGUGGGUAACCUCCCAUCAGAGGGGAUAACACGUGGAAACAGGUGCUAAACCGAUACUGAUUGAUGGAACCGCGGUGCAUUAGCCCGUUGGUGGGGUAACGGCUCACCAAGGCCACGAUGCAUACCCGCCCUUAGAGGGUGACCUGCCACACUGGUACUUGGACACGGCCCUGACUCCUACGGGAGGCAGCAGUAGGGAAUCUUCGGCAAUGGACGAAAGUCUGACCGAGCAACGCCGCGUGAGUGAAGAAGGUUUUCGGAUCGUAAAACUCUGUUGUUAGAGAAGCGGUAUCUAACCAGAAAGCCACGGCUAACUACGUGCCAGCAGCCGCGGUAAUUC
This 403-nucleotide ribosomal RNA is filed under the name uncultured bacterium. Its description in RNAcentral is "partial 16S ribosomal RNA". It matches the Rfam family "Bacterial small subunit ribosomal RNA", at positions 28 to 526 of the family's 1533-position model. The record is from RNAcentral.